Lycium barbarum (goji berry) is the source of this 590-nucleotide long non-coding RNA. RefSeq lists it as uncharacterized. The record is from RefSeq and is a predicted model, not a curated record. Lineage: Eukaryota; Viridiplantae; Streptophyta; Magnoliopsida; Solanales; Solanaceae. The transcript is spliced from 3 exons.
UUUCUGGAGGAAAGGAGAGAAAAUAUCUUAGAGAUAAAAAUCAAUUUUUGACCAAAAUCCGAGCCCCGAAUUCCAAAGCUCAUGAAGAGAAAAGUGUUGUACGACGCGUUGUCUUCAAUUUGAGCUAAAGAUCAACCAAGGAGGAGAGUGAUAACGUGGUGGCUGAAUUCUUAAGAUUUUGGGCGAAACGGGAUUUGAAUUUGGAGAAGCGUAAGGAGCGAAUAAGGUACACCCAGAUGAUAUGAAGUUAUUAUAGAAGAUGUUCCAGGAGUUGGCAGGCUCCAUUUGUUCUCGGAGUGUUGCCGAGUCAGAGUUUGUAUGUUAUGAUUUCUGGAUUUAUGUUAGAGACUUUGCAGACAGAGUCGUGGGUAUUGGUUAUCAGUCUGUAAGCGGCUCCAUCAGCCGAUAUGUCAUUCUGUGUUAUGUAGUAAAUUUUAUAUAAUUACGGAUUUUGCCUAAAAUUGAGAACGAUAAAAGAUGGAUUUCGAAAGCUUAAUAUGUAUUUUACUUUUAUCUGAUUUUCAGCGUCUGAAAAAAUUAUGUGUGUAAUAAGAAUCUGUGGGUUCGCUCGGCUCCGGAUAUGGGGUCGG